This 468-nucleotide ribosomal RNA is filed under the name uncultured bacterium. RNAcentral describes it as "partial 16S ribosomal RNA". It matches the Rfam family "Bacterial small subunit ribosomal RNA", at positions 28 to 507 of the family's 1533-position model. The record is from RNAcentral.
GACGAACGCUGGCGGCGUGCUUAACACAUGCAAGUCGAACGGAAAGGCCCUGCUUUUGUGGGGUGCUCGAGUGGCGAACGGGUGAGUAACACGUGAGUAACCUGCCCUUGACUUUGGGAUAACUUCAGGAAACUGGGGCUAAUACCGGAUAGGAGCUCCUGCUGCAUGGUGGGGGUUGGAAAGUUUCGGCGGUUGGGGAUGGACUCGCGGCUUAUCAGCUUGUUGGUGGGGUAGUGGCUUACCAAGGCUUUGACGGGUAGCCGGCCUGAGAGGGUGACCGGCCACAUUGGGACUGAGAUACGGCCCAGCCUCCUACGGGAGGCAGCAGUGGGGAAUAUUGCACAAUGGGCGGAAGCCUGAUGCAGCAACGCCGCGUGCGGGAUGACGGCCUUCGGGUUGUAAACCGCUUUCGCCUGUGACGAAGCGUGAGUGACGGUAAUGGGUAAAGAAGCACCGACUAACUACGUG